UACGGAGGGAGCUAGCGUUGUUCGGAAAUACUGGGCGUAAAGCGCACGUAGGCGGCGCAGCAAGUCAGGGGUGAAAUCCCGGGGCCCAACCCCGGAACUGCCCUUGAAACUGCAGUGCUAGAAUCUUGGAGAGGCGAGUGGAAUUCCGAGUGUAGAGGUGAAAUUCGUAGAUAUUCGGAAGAACACCAGUGGCGAAGGCGACUCGCUGGACAAGUAUUGACGCUGAGGUGCGAAAGCGUGGGGAGCAAACAGG
Molecule: ribosomal RNA, 253 nt
Filed under: uncultured bacterium
Lineage: Bacteria
Description: partial 16S ribosomal RNA
Rfam family: Bacterial small subunit ribosomal RNA
Source: RNAcentral